This 354-nucleotide ribosomal RNA is filed under the name uncultured Nitrospinaceae bacterium. RNAcentral describes it as "bacterial SSU rRNA". It matches the Rfam family "Bacterial small subunit ribosomal RNA", at positions 524 to 876 of the family's 1533-position model. The record is from RNAcentral. Lineage: Bacteria; Pseudomonadati; Nitrospinota; Nitrospinia; Nitrospinales; Nitrospinaceae.
UACGGAGGGGGCAAGCGUUGUUCGGAAUCAUUGGGCGUAAAGAGUAUGUAGGCGGCUAGAUAAGUCAGACGUGUAAGCCCACGGCUCAACCGUGGAAUUGCGUUUGAAACUAUUUAGCUUGAGUGCAGGAGAGGAAGGCGGAAUUCCCAGUGUAGCGGUGAAAUGCAUUGAUAUUGGGAAGAACACCGGUGGCGAAGGCGGCCUUCUGGUCUGACACUGACGCUGAGAUACGAAAGCCAGGGGAGCAAACGGGAUUAGAUACCCCGGUAGUCCUGGCCGUAAACGAUGGGCACUAGGUGCGGGAGGUAUUGAUCCCUUCCGUGUCGCAGCUAACGCAUUAAGUGCCCCGCCUGG